AUUGAACGCUGGCGGCAGGCUUAACACAUGCAAGUCGAACGGUAGCAGGAAGAAAGCUUGCUUUCUUUGCUGACGAGUGGCGGACGGGUGAGUAAUGCUUGGGAAUCURGCUUAUGGAGGGGGAUAACUGUGGGAAACUGCAGCUAAUACCGCGUAAUCUCUGAGGAGUAAAGGGUGGGACCUCUUGGCCACCUGCCAUAAGAUGAGCCCAAGUGGGAUUAGGUAGUUGGUGGGGUAAAGGCCUACCAAGCCUGCGAUCUCUAGCUGGUCUGAGAGGAUGACCAGCCACACUGGAACUGAGACACGGUCCAGACUCCUACGGGAGGCAGCAGUGGGGAAUAUUGCGCAAUGGGGGGAACCCUGACGCAGCCAUGCCGCGUGAAUGAAGAAGGCCUUCGGGUUGUAAAGUUCUUUCGGUAAUGAGGAAGGGAUGUUAUUAAAUAGAUGGCAUCAUUGACGUUAAUUACAGAAGAAGCACCGGCUAACUCCGUGCCAGCAGCCGCGGUAAUACGGAGGGUGCGAGCGUUAAUCGGAAUAACUGGGCGUAAAGGGCACGCAGGCGGACUUUUAAGUGAGAUGUGAAAUCCCCGAGCUUAACUUGGGAAUUGCAUUUCAGACUGGGAGUCUAGAGUACUUUAGGGAGGGGUAGAAUUCCACGUGUAGCGGUGAAAUGCGUAGAGAUGUGGAGGAAUACCGAAGGCGAAGGCAGCCCCUUGGGAAUGUACUGACGCUCAUGUGCGAAAGCGUGGGGAGCAAACAGGAUUAGAUACCCUGGUAGUCCACGCUGUAAACGCUGUCGAUUUGGGGAUUGGGCUAUAUGCUUGGUGCCCGAAGCUAACGUGAUAAAUCGACCGCCUGGGGAGUACGGCCGCAAGGUUAAAACUCAAAUGAAUUGACGGGGGCCCGCACAAGCGGUGGAGCAUGUGGUUUAAUUCGAUGCAACGCGAAGAACCUUACCUACUCUUGACAUCCAGAGAAGCUUGCAGAGAUGCGAGUGUGCCUUCGGGAGCUCUGAGACAGGUGCUGCAUGGCUGUCGUCAGCUCGUGUUGUGAAAUGUUG
This 1060-nucleotide ribosomal RNA is filed under the name Pasteurella multocida subsp. septica. RNAcentral describes it as "bacterial SSU rRNA". It matches the Rfam family "Bacterial small subunit ribosomal RNA", at positions 28 to 1077 of the family's 1533-position model. Lineage: Bacteria; Pseudomonadati; Pseudomonadota; Gammaproteobacteria; Pasteurellales; Pasteurellaceae. The record is from RNAcentral.